GGGAGUUGGCACCCAGACCACUCCAAUGGGCAGACGUCUGGAGUAAUCAGAAAAUGUCAAUCUUUGCUAAGUGGAUGUCACCUGAAAUAGGCAUUCCUUCCAGUUACAUAUUUAGUAUGAAGCUUUCUGGGUCUGGGAUGGGAUUUUAGGAUGAUCACAUUUUAUGAAUUAGUGUUGUCUUUUACUCGGGGGCAGCUGCUUCUCAGGACCGCC
This is a non-coding RNA of Pelobates cultripes (western spadefoot toad), 213 nucleotides long. Lineage: Eukaryota; Metazoa; Chordata; Amphibia; Anura; Pelobatidae. The record is from the annotation of a GenBank genome assembly.